GGACUACACGGGUAUCUAAUCCUGUUUGCUCCCCAUGCUUUCGCGCCUCAGCGUCAGUAUGUAUCCAGUAAGUCGCCUUCGCCACUGGUGUUCUUUCCGAUAUCUACGCAUUUCACCGCUACACCGGAAAUUCCACUUACCUCUAUACUACUCAAGCAUCACAGUCUUAAAUGCAGUUCCCAAGUUAAGCUCGGGGAUUUCACAUCUAACUUAUCAUACCGCCUACGCGCCCUUUACGCCCAGUAAUUCCGAUUAACGCUCGCACCCUCUGUAUUACCGCGGCUGCUGGCAC
This 292-nucleotide ribosomal RNA is filed under the name uncultured bacterium. Its description in RNAcentral is "partial 16S ribosomal RNA". The record is from RNAcentral.